UCCGAAUUGGUGUAGUGGCUAACAUUUGACGCUCUCAAUACUUGCUUUCGAAUGAUACCAUUGUUGGUCGUUGUGUGAUAUAGAAAGUCCCGUCAAGCUCAGGGUUCGAUUCCCUAAUUCGGAG
This is a non-coding RNA of Xylaria digitata, 124 nucleotides long. NCBI's taxonomy places the organism in Eukaryota, Fungi, Ascomycota, Sordariomycetes, Xylariales, Xylariaceae. The record is from the annotation of a GenBank genome assembly.